Molecule: non-coding RNA, 82 nt
Organism: Ciona savignyi (Pacific transparent sea squirt)
Lineage: Eukaryota; Metazoa; Chordata; Ascidiacea; Phlebobranchia; Cionidae
Source: Rfam
GUCGUCGUGGCCGAGUGGUUAAGGCGACAGACUUGAAAUCUGUUGUGCUCAACCCGCACAGGUUUGAAUCCUGUCGGCGACG